This 468-nucleotide ribosomal RNA is filed under the name uncultured bacterium. Its description in RNAcentral is "partial 16S ribosomal RNA". It matches the Rfam family "Bacterial small subunit ribosomal RNA", at positions 28 to 507 of the family's 1533-position model. The record is from RNAcentral.
GACGAACGCUGGCGGCGUGCUUAACACAUGCAAGUCGAACGGAAAGUCCCUGCUUUUGUGGGGUGCUCGAGUGGCGAACGGGUGAGUAACACGUGAGUAACCUGCCCUUGACUUUGGGAUAACUUCAGGAAACUGGGGCUAAUACCGGAUAGGAGCUCCUGCUGCAUGGUGGGGGUUGGAAAGUUUCGGCGGUUGGGGAUGGACUCGCGGCUUAUCAGCUUGUUGGUGGGGUAGUGGCUUACCAAGGCUUUGACGGGUAGCCGGCCUGAGAGGGUGACCGGCCGCAUUGGGACUGAGAUACGGCCCAGACUCCUACGGGAGGCAGCAGUGGGGAAUAUUGCACAAUGGGCGGAAGCCUGAUGCAGCAACGCCGCGUGCGGGAUGACGGCCUUCGGGUUGUAAACCGCUUUCGCCUGUGACGAAGCGUGAGUGACGGUAAUGGGUAAAGAAGCACCGGCUAACUACGUG